CAAAAGCUUGGUCCUGGCUUUACUAACAGCUCUAACCAAAUUUAUACAUGCAAGUAUCCGCAACCCUGUGAGAAUGCCCUAUCCGCCCUGCCAGGGAAUUAGGAGCCGGUAUCAGGCGCACCCUGUGUAGCCCAUUACACCUUGCUCAGCCACACCCUCAAGGGAACUCAGCAGUGAUAAAUAUUAAGCCAUGAGUGAAAACUUGACUCAGUUACGGUUAAGAGGGCCGGUAGAUCUCGUGCCAGCCACCGCGGUUAUACGAGAGACCCAAGUUGUUAGCCCCCGGCGUAAAGAGUGGUUAAAGUUCAAAACACCAAACUGAGGCUGAACAUCUUCAAGGCAGUUAUACGCUCCCGAGGAUAUGAAAAUCAAUCACGAAAGUAGCCCCACUUUACUUGAACCCACGAAAGCUAAGGCACAAACUGGGAUUAGAUACCCCACUAUGCUUAGCCCUAAACAACGAUACCUAUCUACACCCACUAUCCGCCCGGGUACUACGAGCAUUAGCUUAAAACCCAAAGGACUUGGCGGUGCUUUAAAACCAUCUAGAGGAGCCUGUUCUAGAACCGAUAACCCCCGUUUAACCUCACCCCUCUUUGUUUAACCCGCCUAUAUACCACCGUCGUCAGCCCACCCUGUGAGGGGUCAAUAGUAGGCAAAAUUGGCACAACCCAAAACGUCAGGUCGAGGUGUAGCGUAUGGAGGGGGAAGAAAUGGGCUACAUUCUCUGCUCAGAGAAUAACGAAUGGUGUAAUGAAACGUACACCUGAAGGAGGAUUUAGCAGUAAGCAAGAAUCAGAGUGUCUCGCUGAAACCGGCCAUGAAGCGCGCACAUACCGCCCGUCACUCUCCCCAAAUAAAAUUCAACCAUAAUUAAUAAGUUACCUCACACAAAGGGGAGGCAAGUCGUAACAUGGUAAGUGUACCGGAAGGUGCACUUGGAUAAAU
RNAcentral lists this non-coding RNA (948 nucleotides) under Sphoeroides pachygaster (blunthead puffer). RNAcentral describes it as "12S rRNA". It matches the Rfam family "Bacterial small subunit ribosomal RNA". The record is from RNAcentral. Lineage: Eukaryota; Metazoa; Chordata; Actinopteri; Tetraodontiformes; Tetraodontidae.